Molecule: long non-coding RNA, 884 nt
Filed under: Ananas comosus (pineapple)
Lineage: Eukaryota; Viridiplantae; Streptophyta; Magnoliopsida; Poales; Bromeliaceae
Description: long non-coding RNA (ACOM_LNC020796)
Source: RNAcentral
UAGAACAGGAUGGCAGUGCGGUGGUUGUAGAUUGGGUCAGCCAUGAUCAACACUUUGAAUCGAUCGGAACUGGGAGGAGCACAACAGCUAACUUGAGGAGAAGGAGGAAGAGAACUUGAGCAAAGCUUUUGAAAUGGCUUUCUUUAAGCUCCAAAAACUCAUUAAUUAUUCUGUGUGGCAUAGAAUAUUAUUGCCUUACCGAGAAUCAUUAUUGCCUAUAAGAAGAUGUAAAAUGUUAUUGCUUAAGAGAGAGUUAUAUAAAGAGAAAAAUUAUUACCUCUUGGUAAGGUGAAGAAGUUUUUUGGAAAGGUAAAAAGGCUCCUUGGGAAGGUGCAUGAGAAGAAUUAUUACCUUUGGAAAGAUAAAAAGGCCUUUUGGAAAGAUAAGAAGAAUUAUUAUAUAUUGAAAAGAUGAAAAAGCCUCUUGAGAAGAUGAAAAGGCAAAAGAGAUAGUUAAGAAAGAGAGAGGCUUAAGAGAGGAAUAAAAUUAAGCAAGAGCUCGACACGUAAGCUCUCAAAAAUCAUCAAAUUAUAUAUUUGUAUGGAUGAGUCUUAUCCUCCUUUAAAGCAUAACUAGUUAAGUCACCCGCGCGUUGCGGCGGGUCGAUCCUGCGAAAGAAAAUUAAUAAAUACAUAUUUAAAAAAAUCAGAUAAGAACUAAAAGUAUAUUUAUAAUUAAUUUUCGUCAAAUAUAAAAUUAAUUUAAGCUAUAUCAAAUUUUUUAUUUUUUAAUGUAUAAUUUAUAUGUAAAUGCUCAAUAUUAUUAUAAAAUUAAUAUUUAUAUCUAAUACCAGUAGUCUAAAUUAUUUAAUAUUUAUUUAUAUAUUUUAUAUUUUAUAAAAAUAAAUGGUAAAUUAUAUAAUAAAUUAUUAUAUAAUAAUAUAU